GAAAUAUAAAACAAUUAAGCUUCUAACUUAAUUAAUAGUGAUUUAACCAUUAAUAUUUCU
This 60-nucleotide transfer RNA is filed under the name Nigidius sinicus. RNAcentral's name for it is "tRNA-Ser". The record is from RNAcentral. Lineage: Eukaryota; Metazoa; Arthropoda; Insecta; Coleoptera; Lucanidae.